This 393-nucleotide ribosomal RNA is filed under the name uncultured bacterium. RNAcentral describes it as "partial 16S ribosomal RNA". It matches the Rfam family "Bacterial small subunit ribosomal RNA", at positions 523 to 918 of the family's 1533-position model. The record is from RNAcentral.
AUACGGAAGGUCCGGGCGUUAUCCGGAUUUAUUGGGUUUAAAGGGAGCGCAGGCGGAGAUGCAAGCGUGACGUCAAAUUUCGGGGCUCAACCCCGUCUCGCGUCGCGAACUGCGUCCCUUGGUUGCGGGACGGGGAGGCGGAACUCGGGGUGUAGCGGUGAAAUGCAUAGAUAUCACGAAGAACUCCGAUCGCGAAGGCAGCCUUCCGGCCCGUCAACGACGCUCAUGCUCGAAGGUGCGGGUAUCAAACAGGAUUAGAUACCCUGGUAGUCCGCACAGUAAACGAUGGACACCCGCGGUUUGGCCUAUAUGGCUGAGCCGCCAAGCGAAAGCGUUAAGUGUCCCACCUGGGGAGUACGCCGGCAACGGUGAAACUUAAAGGAAUUGACGGGG